This 327-nucleotide ribosomal RNA is filed under the name Triticum aestivum (bread wheat). Its description in RNAcentral is "partial small subunit ribosomal RNA". The record is from RNAcentral. Lineage: Eukaryota; Viridiplantae; Streptophyta; Magnoliopsida; Poales; Poaceae.
AUGAACAAAAAAUGGGUUCUUGUGUCCGUUAUCAGUCUGACAUCAUCUUUUGCUAGGCAGGCUCAGCAUCCCAUGUGGCGUCAAUUCUUCCUUGGUGAUGGUUUAGAUGAUGGCCUUCAUUCUAUGCAAAUCAGGUCAUCUAGCAUAGACUCAUCCUUUGUGUUUCUGAAAUUCAGCUUUCAUCAUGCCGUUUUCAUCUUGGAGAACACAAGCGGCAACGUACAUGAGGUGCAGUACCUUGAUGAAGAUGGCGCUCUAAGGUCUAUUGUUUCUCUUACAGAGUGUUGGCCACCGGUGCUUCAUUUGCCUAAUCCUGAUGCAACAUAG